RNAcentral lists this ribosomal RNA (468 nucleotides) under uncultured bacterium. Its description in RNAcentral is "partial 16S ribosomal RNA". It matches the Rfam family "Bacterial small subunit ribosomal RNA", at positions 28 to 507 of the family's 1533-position model. The record is from RNAcentral.
GACGAACGCUGGCGGCGUGCUUAACACAUGCAAGUCGAACGGAAAGGCCCUGCUUUUGUGGGGUGCUCGAGUGGCGAACGGGUGAGUAACACGUGAGUAACCUGCCCUUGACUUUGGGAUAACUUCAGGAAACUGGGGCUAAUACCGGCUAGGAGCUCCUGCUGCAUGGUGGGGGUUGGAAAGUUUCGGCGGUUGGGGAUGGACUCGCGGCUUAUCAGCUUGUUGGUGGGGUAGUGGCUUACCAAGGCUUUGACGGGUAGCCGGCCUGAGAGGGUGACCGGCCACAUGGGGACUGAGAUACGGCCCAGACUCCUACGGGAGGCGGCAGUGGGGAAUAGUGCACAAUGGUCAGAAGCCUGAUGCAGCAACGCCGCGUGCGGGAUGACGGCCUUCGGGUUGUAAACCGCUUUCGCCUGUGACGAAGCGGGAGUGACGGUAAUGGGUAAAGAAGCACCGGCUAACUACGUG